Molecule: long non-coding RNA, 727 nt
Organism: Juglans microcarpa x Juglans regia
Lineage: Eukaryota; Viridiplantae; Streptophyta; Magnoliopsida; Fagales; Juglandaceae
Exons: 4
Source: RefSeq, a predicted model, not a curated record
AGUAAAAUUGGGGGUUGGUGCCGAAUUGUUUUCCCAGAAAUUGGUCCCGGAUAUUUACACACUCUCCAGUCGACCCUGAAAUUGGCAAAUUUAGGCACUCUCCAAGUUGUCUCCAUAAACUUUCAAGAAGUUGUCUCAAAAAAUGUUUCACAUACAACAUCUGGAGGUUGAGUGGAUUCAUCAGAUUCCACCUCCCUUUCAUCUCUCAAAGUCCAGCAUGCAGCUUCUGAUUGCAAGUGUUGUCCGAUAGGAGGCAACACUCGUGGCCCUGGUCCAGCUCAUCCUCUGCCUCUCCCUCUUUUUGACUGAACCAUUUCAAUAACAGACCAAUCUCCAAACACUUUCCCCUAGCAAUAAAGUUAAACUCAGAUUUCCCUACUACUGCUUAUGGAGUGCAAAAGGAUUGUGUAAGAAAGAGACCUACCAAGUUGUUCUCUCCUGACAAAAGAAGCUUGACUUCAGAGUGCCUUUGCUAAGUAUAACAGAGUGGGAAAAACCCAAAGAAAACUAGCUUUAGUUAAGUCCCAGCAAAAUGUUAAAAAGCCCUGUGUUUCUAGCUCUAUUGAACUACGUACAACUUUUGUCUCUCAAAACCCAUGCCUUUGGGGUGAUGGUAGGAAAAUGCAAAUCAGAUUUGACUCCCUGAAACUCAGGCUAUCAGCAUCAACCAUGAGCUGUACCCGUGCCAACUUUUUUAUUUGGAUGUUAGAGGUUUACUAUAUUGGUG